This 609-nucleotide ribosomal RNA is filed under the name fungal endophyte. RNAcentral's name for it is "eukaryotic LSU rRNA". The stretch from base 268 to 421 matches the Rfam family "5.8S ribosomal RNA". The record is from RNAcentral. Lineage: Eukaryota; Fungi.
GAUCAUUACUGAGAAAGUACUUUUCCGAGGUGAUGGGAAGAGCCGCUCCCCCUUCCCCCCCCGCGGGGAAGGGGACGGCGCGACCCUGCCUUCACACCCUUGCGUAUCCACCGCGUUGCUUUGGCGGGCCGACCCGGUUUCGACCCGGGCGGCCGGCGCCCCCAGCCCGGAUUCCCGGGCCAGGACGCCCGGGCCAAGCGCCCGCCAGUACACCAAACUCCAGCGAUUAUUUCGUGCAGUCCUGAAACAUUCAUUCAAUGAAACUAAAACUUUCAACAACGGAUCUCUUGGUUCUGGCAUCGAUGAAGAACGCAGCGAAAUGCGAUAAGUAAUGUGAAUUGCAGAAUUCAGUGAAUCAUCGAAUCUUUGAACGCACAUUGCGCUCCCUGGUAUUCCGGGGAGCAUGCCUGUUCGAGCGUCAUUUCAACCCUCAAGCUCUGCUUGGUAUUGGGCGACGUCCGCUGCCGGACGCGCCUGGAAGACCUCGGCGACGGCGUCCCAGCCUCGAGCGUAGUAGCGAAAACAUCUCGCUCUGGAGGAAGGGGGCGGCGGCUUGCCGGACAAUCGACCUUCGGUCACCAUUCAUUUCCAAGGUUGACCUCGGAUCAG